AAUGUAUGUCAGUAUUUCUGUGGAAAUCUCACUUUUUACGGGACGUCUUUGCAGGGAUGGGACAGAACCUCAUAUCCCAGCAUGCACACGCGAGCAGAGGCUUAGACGCGAAGGCGCUUCCCUGAGCUGCGGCCGUGCGGGCGGUUCUCGCGGCGGGCCGGGCGAGCGCGCGCUGCCGCCGCUACUGCGUUCGCCACGUUCCCCGCUCGCGCUAAUUGCUACAUCACGCACGGCGCUCGCGCUCACAUUCACCGCGCCAACGCCGAGCGAUGAGCUCACAGGGCGGAGAUUCGGCGGAGCAGCACCGGCGGCAGCAGUUGCUGCGUUUAAUUUAUUUGCAUUUGAAGGAGAAUGGCUACGAGAAAGCUGCCAAGGUGCUUAAAAAGCACAUUUGUCAGAAAGAAACGGAAGCGAGCGUGACACUUUAUGAAAUAUACACCGGUUGGAUAAAAACUUCAGAUGGUUUUGGAGAUACGAAGCAGGAGCCUGGACUGAACAGGGAGAGCCCCCCGAAGAAGUCGCACCUGUCGGACUAUGCCGCCGGGGUCGAGGGAGACGAAGUCAAACCCGAAAAAGGUCACAUCAUUGAGAAGACAGAAGAACCUGAAUUUAAGCCCAUCAUUGAUGAUGGAUCUGUGUCCCCCUGUAACAAACCUUUCAUUCCCUCUGUGGUAAAAAAGUCUUCCAAAAGCACAGAAGGUCACUCAGACUGCAAAGAUGACCCUGAUGGAGACCAGCUGCAGACACCCCCUGGCCAUGCCAGUAGUGUGCCUCCUUUAGUGGAAUUAAGCAAACCCACCAUCCCUCAGGAGGAAACAGUUCCCUUGACACAGGACAUGGGAGUAAAAGUUAUAAGCUCAGACAGUGAAAGUCCUGAAGAUUCAGAAGAAGAGGAGCAGAGGCCACAACAGCAGGCUGAAGGUACUACACCAAAACCCACAGCUAUGAAGACUUCAAGUGUAGCAGGGGCCAGUGAGUCUAAGAGUUCAGCUGACAGUAAUGAUUCUCAGAGAGAAGAAGAAGCACCUGUCCAGAAACCUGGGAAAACACCAGUACGUAAAUCCUCCAAACAAAUUCCAACAAAGGGAGCCACUGCAGCCCCACUAAAGUCUAGCCAGGACACCACCAGCCAAGCUUUAGCUACACCCAAGAUCUCUGCUGCCCAGAACAAGGCUGAGUGCUCUGGGAGUGAGAGCAAUGAUAACUCAGUCAGUGACCAGGAAGUGACACAAGACCAGAAAGCAGUCAAAACCCCAAAAGUUAUACCUGCAGCCCCAGAAAGGCCCAGGCAGUCUGUACACAGCAAAGCUAAAGAUGCCCCUGAGGUUCCUGCUGCAGAGAAGAAAGCAGAGAGCUCAGAGAGUGAGAGUGGUGAUGACUUGGAGAGUGAAGAAGAAGCUGUUAAAGAGAGCGCUAAACCUGUGCCUGACACACCACACAAGGCAACUACAGUGAUUGUCACCCCUGGUCUCACCAAAGUCCCUUCAAAAACAGAAGAGACCUCAGAGAAUGAUGACCAAUCCGAACGUGAAGAAAUUCCACCAACACAGAAAGAAGUGACAACCUCAACAUUGACAACUACCCAGAAGACUCCAAAGAAUGGAGCUUCCGCAGCUCCACUGAAGCCCAGCCAGCACAAAUCAGCCCAGGCUAAAAAGUCACCCAAGGGUCUUGCUGUAGAGAAGUCCGAGAGCUCUGAGAGCAGCAAUGAUUCAGCGAGUGAAGAGAAAGCCGAUGGAAAACCCAACGCUGCAAAAAAGACCACUGCAGUUAUGACUCCAGCACUAGUUAAACCCAGUACCACAUCUGGUCGCACCACAGCCCUGUCAAAAUCAGGAGAGGGCUCAGAGAGUGACGAUGAAUCAGAAAGUGAAGAUGAAAUUCCACCAACCCAGAAAACCAAAAUCCCAAAAGGGACACCUGCCAAGAUUUCACCCACGAGGGCAUCUAAAACUCCAGUGAAGCUCAGCCAUCCCACACCUAUCCAGGCUAAAGGUGCAAAGAAGGCUGACAGCCCAGAGAGCAGUGAUGACUCAGAGAGUGAAGAGGUAGCAACACCACCACAACAGAAAGCUGGUGUGACACCGAAAGCUAAACUUGUGUCUGGCCCUGCAAAGACAACUGCACUGAAAGGUUCAACACCAGGUAAACCUAGUUAUACCUUGGCUCCCACCACAGCCUCCUCAAAACCAGAAGAGAGCUCAGAGAGCGAUGAUGAAUCAGAAAGUGAAGAGGAGAUUCCCCCAACACAGGUAAUGUCCACUGAGCCCACAGCAAGCACACAUUUAGCCACCCCAGCAAUGGUCAACAGGGGUCAGAGUUCAGACAGGGACAGUGAGGAAUCUGAGAGCGAGGACAACGCACCUGACCAGAAACCAGAGCUGACCAUCAAGCCAAAAGUAUGUAAGGUUAUUCCAGCAAAGUCAUUGAGUGCGGUGACCCCAGUCAGAGCCAAGACCGCACCCACCACCACCUCAAAAACAACCAUGAAGACCUCAGUAUCUGUCAGACGAAAAAAGAGUACAAGCACAGACAGUGAGGACGAGAUUCCAAGAAAGUCAGCCCCAGCUAAACGGGCUUCCAUGGUGUCAGUCAAGCCUGGACAUCCCAUUCCAAGCCAGGUUAAAGCAGCACCCAAGGCCCCUUCUAAAGAGGGAAAGGCCAAGGAGGCUAGCAGUGAUGAUUCGGAGAGUGGUGAAGACCCUUCAGCGAAGAUUGCUGUGGCAGCUUCCGACAUUUUGCCCAAGAUGAAAUGCAAAUCCACAACCCAGACUGUACAGAAGACUCCGAACGCUUCAAAAAAAGUGGCCGGUGGCAGUGAGGACCUGUCCGAAAAGGACGCAUCUCUUGAAAACUCGGCUUUGAAGACUCCCAAAGCUAAACUACGUGCCGUCGCUCCAGAACUUUCAUCUGACAUCAAGAGCAGUACAACCAAGGGCACUGAGGAUGGUGCUUCCAUACUCGUUCAGGAAGUCUCAGCAAUAAUGGAUUCUGAACCUGACAUAUUAGGGACAGCAUCUUCUGAUGCAGCUCCCAAAAACUCAAAGGACGGUGAUGUCAUUGCAGAGGAGCUCUCCCAGACUUCUCUGGACCCAAAAGAAUCUAUGAAGAAAGCCACUGAAAGAAGGAAAAGGAGGAGGAAGAAGAAGAAGAAAAAAAAGAAAGCCUCUGUCCAAUUUGAGGAUGAGAACAUUUCCCCCACAGGCCCUGGUCAGGAGCUGAUUUUACCCAGUGGAGGAUCUGCCAUCAGUUUGGACCAGUUAAUAACAAUGCCAUGCAAAGCUUCUGAAGAGCCAGAAUCAUCUGAGACUGGUGUUAGUCUUAAGAAGGUUGGAUCAAAGAGCUCAAAGUCACUAGUAUCAGGAGUGAAUAGUGAGGGAGAGCCUGAAGUGAAAACCAUAGCAACAGAAGCUAUGCCUCAGGCAAAAAAGAGGAGGAGCACAGACAAAGGAGAUAUGGAACCGAAGAGUAAGAAGAAGAAGAAGAAGAAGAAAGGUGCAGACACAGAAGCAAACCCCACAGAGCUGGGGAACAACCCUCAUUCCGAGAACAAGCUUAAUUUGGAAGAGUCAGAAAAAGAGGCACUGACUCCCUCAGAUGAUGCAACUGCAAAGAUGGGCUCUGAUGACUCUAUGGAGUCCAACUCCACCACCCUCAUUUUGUCUGCAAAGGCCUUAAAGAAGAUUAAGAAAAUGAAGAAGAAAGAGAAGGUAAAAGUUAAGAAUACAGGGAGUAAAAAGAUUAAAGCCCACAAGACUAUGAGUGUCUUUACCUCUGUGGCUGAGCAGCUGCUGGCCAUUACCAAAAAAAAAGAAUUAAAGAAAGCUACUGCUGUGAAGAAGCCGCUAUUGGUGCUUGAUCCGCAAAAAAGGAAGAAAUUUGACAAAGACGGUACUAUAAGAUCAGAGCCAGAAUCUGAAAUUCCUGCUUUUAAGAAAAGAAAAAAGAAAAACAAAAGCAACAGGGAGGAGAAGACACCUUCAAAGAAGAAGCAAACUCAGGACACAGAAGACCAUGAGCUGCAAAUCCAAGGUCUGGCGGAGAGUACGCUUGUGAAGAAGAAAAAAAAGAAAAAGAAAAACAGAUGGAAAGACAGAGGAAAACUGAUCAAGACACCUUUCAAGGGGCCACAGGGGCUUCAUCUGGACACACCUCCACCUUUAGGGACUAGUCCAGAACCUUCUAAAGCCGCCUUGGGAAAAGUGAGAAAAAAGUAAAGAAAAAUUUUGUUUCAAAUGUAUUAUCACGUGUUUUACAUCAUUUUGUAAUGCUGUAAAAAGAAAGUAAUGGACUUUUUUUGUAGAUCGCGUUCCUUCAGAAACAGUGAAUGAUGGAUGGGUGAGUAGAAAAUGUUAAAAUACACUUUGUGUUACUACAUGUUUUCAUUGUAAUGUAUAAUAGAUACACCAUACUAUAUUUAAAAUCUCCACAGGAAUUGCUGUUCUCUGCGGACCCGAGAGUAGAUGAGCUGCUGGCCAGUGAAAGAGGAUCAACUCUUCCACACGGGUUAAACUAGUGUUACUUUAUAGUGAGGAAAAAGUUACUUCAGUUUGUAUGUGCUUUCUGUGAAACAUGUUUGGUUCUAUAGCAUUUUAGCAGUAAGCAAUACUACAGAGGAUGGAAGGUUUUGUUACAGCAAUAUUAUGGAUUUAUUCAGUUUUUCUAAUUGUAUGGGAUAUUUUCAGUUAGAUGCUGCUGACUCCAGUUAAGACUAUGGAAAUGAAUUCUGCAUCCAGUGUGGAUUCUCUGUACUUAAAGGUGACUUUAUAUUUGACAGGGCAGAAACAGUAGCACACAGACUAGCAUGUGAUUAUCACUGUGCUUUGGGAACAAGGUUAUACUGACCAUAGACCACCUUACUGCAGUAGUUGAAAGGGAGGCUUUUCUCCCUUAACACAUAAUACAAGUGUUUCUGCCACACACACUUUUAGACACUGUGAAACAGGCAUGUAACUGUCAUUUUUCUGGUGUUUGUUCAUUUCAGCUUUUAAUAAAUGUUAAUUUUGCAUUAUUUGAAGGAGCA
Molecule: long non-coding RNA, 5023 nt
Organism: Scleropages formosus (Asian bonytongue)
Lineage: Eukaryota; Metazoa; Chordata; Actinopteri; Osteoglossiformes; Osteoglossidae
Source: Ensembl